Molecule: ribosomal RNA, 332 nt
Filed under: Ixodes scapularis (black-legged tick)
Lineage: Eukaryota; Metazoa; Arthropoda; Arachnida; Ixodida; Ixodidae
Description: partial 16S ribosomal RNA
Source: RNAcentral
GAAAUAAGAUUUUAAAUGAGUGCUAAGAGAAUGAUUAAAGAAUUAAAAGCUUUCUUUAAUUAAAAAAUUAAAUUUAAUUUUUUAGUGCAAAAGCAAAAAUAAAAUUUAGGGACAAGAAGACCCUAUGAAUUUUUAUUGUUAAUAAUUAAAAUUUAAAUUAUUAAUAAUUUAAUUGGGGCGAUAAAAAAAGAAUAAGUAUCUUUUUAGUUAUAAAAUAAGUUCCGUUUUUAGCGAUUAAAUGAAAUAAAUACUCUAGGGAUAACAGCGUAAUAAUUUUGGAUAGUUCAUAUAGAUAAAAUAGUUUGCGACCUCGAUGUUGGAUUAGGAUUCUU